GAUGAACGCUGGCGGCGUGCCUAAUACAUGCAAGUCGAGCGAACGGACGAGAAGCUUGCUUCUCUGAUGUUAGCGGCGGACGGGUGGGUAACACGUGGAUAACCUACCUAUAAGACUGGGAUAACUUCGGGAAACCGGAGCUAAUACCGUAUAAUAUUUUGAACCGCAUGGUUCAAAAGUGAAAGACGGUCUUGCUGUCACUUAUAGAUGGAUCUGCGCUGCAUUAGCUAGUUGGUAAGGUAACGGCUUACCAAGGCAACGAUGCAUAGCCGACCUGAGAGGGUGAUCGGCCACACUGGAACUGAGACACGGUCCAGACUCCUACGGGAGGCAGCAGUAGGGAAUCUUCCGCAAUGGGCGAAAGCCUGACGGAGCAACGCCGCGUGAGUGAUGAAGGUCUUCGGAUCGUAAAACUCUGUUAUUAGGGAAGAACAUAUGUGUAAGUAACUGUGCACAUCUUGACGGUACCUAAUCAGAAAGCCACGGCUAACUACGUG
RNAcentral lists this ribosomal RNA (497 nucleotides) under uncultured bacterium. Its description in RNAcentral is "partial 16S ribosomal RNA". It matches the Rfam family "Bacterial small subunit ribosomal RNA", at positions 28 to 507 of the family's 1533-position model. The record is from RNAcentral.